Molecule: small nuclear RNA, 107 nt
Organism: Otolemur garnettii (small-eared galago)
Lineage: Eukaryota; Metazoa; Chordata; Mammalia; Primates; Galagidae
Source: Ensembl
GGGCUCACUUGAGCAGCACGUAUGCUAAAAUUAGAAUGAUACAGAGAAGAUGAGCAUGGCCCCUGCACAUGGAGGACACGCAAAUCCAUGAAGUGUCCGUAUUUUUA